GGACUUGGAUGAUACCUUCAUUGA
Molecule: non-coding RNA, 24 nt
Filed under: Arabidopsis thaliana (thale cress)
Lineage: Eukaryota; Viridiplantae; Streptophyta; Magnoliopsida; Brassicales; Brassicaceae
Source: RNAcentral